This 2535-nucleotide long non-coding RNA is filed under the name Marmota monax (woodchuck). The record is from RNAcentral. Lineage: Eukaryota; Metazoa; Chordata; Mammalia; Rodentia; Sciuridae.
ACUUGUCAACCAAAAAAUAUAUGGAGGUAGAUUAAAAAUAAAAUUGCAAAUGAAAACUACAUUGUAUCCAUUUUUAACACUCUUAAUUGGUAAAGAAGUUGUUACUCAGUUAUACAGUGCUUGCCUAGCAUGUGUGAGGCACUGGGUUCAAUUCUCAGCACCUCAUAUAAAUAAAAAAUAAAACUCCAUCAACAAUAAAAAUUUAUAUAUAUAUAUAUAUAUAUAUAUAUAUAUAUAUAUAUAUAUAUAAUAAUCAGGUGUUGAUAGAAGGAUGGUACAAUAGGCAGCCUUAUAUCCUAACAGAAUGACAAUUUCUCAGAUGCUACUCUUAGUAUCUUACACGAAAAUUUAUAAUCUUCCCUUCACCACAACCUUCCCCAUAGUUCAACUUCUGAUUUCCCUACCCUGCUUUUGCCCUUUGCUCUUUUAUCUUUUUUUACUUACUCUUUCUAAUAAACCUUUGAGAUAAAUACUAUUUGUAUUAGGUACCAUUACUGCCUUAAUAAAUUACCACAAUACAAUGACUGAUCAACAUGCAUUAACUAUGUUAUAGUUCUCAGGUUCAAAGAUCCAAUGUCAUCUCCUCUGGGAUAAGAUGAUUCUGUCAGCCAGGAUGGUCCCUUUUGAAGGCUCUAGGGGAAAUAAAUUUGCCUAAUUUUUUCAUCUUGUAGAGGCUGCCAGCAUCCCUUGGCUUCUGUGUCCUUUGUCACAUCAAUUGAACAUUAGUCACAUCGCAUCUGCUCUCCCCUUAUAUCCUCUCCUUUUCCUUUUAUACAAACCUUAUUGAUCCUGGGUGUGUUGGUCCACUCCGAUGAUCCCAUUGCCUCAGGAGUCUGAGGUGGAAUGAUCAUAAGUUGACAGCCUCAGCAAGGGAGGCCCUAAGCAUCUUAGAGAGAUCCUGUCUUAAAAUCAAGAGUUCUGGGGAGUAACUUGGUGGUUAAGCAUGCUUGAGUUCAAUCUCUGGUAACAAUGCCCCUGCAAACAAACAAAACCUUGAUGAUUACAUUGAGUAUACCUGCAUGACACAGGAGAAUCUAUCCAAGUUAUGACCCUUGACAUAAUCACACCUACAGUGUCCCGUUUAUCAUGUAAAGUAACAAAUUCAUGGUUUCAAAGGUUUCGAGGAUUAAGAUCAAGAUGGUGUGGGGUGUGAAGUUAUUAUUAAGCCUAUGACAUUAUUAUUAUAUUGCAUUACUACCAAGAUAAUUCAGACAAGGCUUUGUUAAGUAUAUUGUUGGAGAUCAGACAUCGGAACAAGGAAGUGAACCCCAGGGUCAUGUGUCUUCAAAAGGAAGGUUUCUAAUCAGUUGAUUUUAAUUUUUAUUAGGCUCAACAUGUUUUAAUUUUAUGUCUUUAUUGUCAGGAAUUUGAUAUACAGUUAAUAUUUAUUAAUAUUUAAUGGAGAGGGAAUAUAUUUUCAGAUUUCAAAGGGAAGAAACCAGACUUAAUACCAAGGAUCAUGAUUCAGGAAGGAAUGCAAUUUUUUAAAAGCAUCACAGUGCACUAAGAAUUUAGUAGACAUAGGCCAUGAGAAAUUUUUUUUUUUGGCGGGGGCACUGGAAGUUGUUGGGAAUAUAGGCAUGCAGCCCAGCACCAGAAUGUCUUGAGGAUUCUAUGAAAAACUAUUUAAAAUCUAGAAAUCUAAGCUCACCAACUUUCAACCAAUUAAUAAGAAAAUAUCAGGAAAUUGAUUUCCUGUAUUAAGGGUCUUCAGAGAAAAAUACAGAGAAUUAAAUGAUAGAUAUCUAUAGAUGAAAAAUAGAUGACAAGGAGUUUAUUACAGGAAUUGUCUCACACAGUUGUGGAGACUAAAGAAUUCCAUGCUAGGUGACCUGUAGUCUGGAGAACAAGGAAAGCCAGUGGUGUGACUCAGUGCAAGUCUAAGAGCCUGAGCAGAGAAAUGCUCUUUUGAAAACACACCCAAGGGCUUAACCAGAAAUUAUGCAAUUGAGUAUCACUUAAUCCAGUGAAGUGCAUAUCUAAAAUUAACCAUUGCGUCUCCCAUACACUUUUUGGGGGGUUGAGGGGUGGUGUUAUUUAGAACAAGAGAACAAAAGAAGACAAAAGAGAAGCUGGAUGCAGACUAUAAGUUCGAACAUGAUUGUCACUUUUGUAUUUAAUUUUGUGUGUGCUUUACAUGUAAAAUUAAGAAAUAAAAUGAGUAAAAUAAAACCAUGUUAACACAUCACUUUAAAAAAAGAAAAAGAAGCAUGUCAGAGACUGUGGAGUGUAGGUCGAAGAGGGAGGAGGGGAAAAAUUUGAUUUAUGGAUACUAAGAUAUAGAUUGGAGAAAUAAGUCCUGGCAUUUUGUUGUGCAACACAGUGAUGAUAGAUAAUGUACUGCUCAUUUCAAAACAGCUAGAAGAAUGGAUUUGGAAUAUUUUCAUCACUAAUAAAUGAUAAAUAUUUGAGAAGACAGAUAUUUCUACCUUGAUUUGAAUACUACACAAAAUACACAGAUAUCAAAACAUGAUAAAUACGUGUGAUUCUUAAGUGUCAACUAAAAAUGAUAUGUAAACAAAGCAUUGCCAGAAC